Molecule: long non-coding RNA, 546 nt
Organism: Salvia splendens (bonfire salvia)
Lineage: Eukaryota; Viridiplantae; Streptophyta; Magnoliopsida; Lamiales; Lamiaceae
Exons: 2
Source: RefSeq, a predicted model, not a curated record
UCAGCCAAUUUACAAGCUGUUUCUCCCGAAAUCUCUCCUCUCCAUCUGCAACAGAACAUAAGCUUUUCAUUAUACACAGCUCGAGGACUAGACGGAAAACUAGAGAGAGAAAAAAAUGAUCUACAGAAAGUGGAGUCUGCUUACUGGCCCGACCUCGAUCAUCGCCGGAGUAAUCGGUACUGUAGUGGUCGCAGAUCUCAUCUUCGUUGAUAACGGUUGGUUGCACAAGGGAGAUGAAAAAAAACAAGAACUAGCAACCAAAACCAAGUAGAAGCAGGAAGGACGCAUUCCAGUUGCUGUAUUCCUUCAAAAAUGCGUUGUUGAAUAAACUGAUCUUGUUCGCUAUACAAUUCAGUUUUUGUGUUUAAAUCCUUUUGAGUUUUGCAGCCUGGAUAGCCAGAAAAUGAAGGAGAGGCAGCAAAUAAAUCAGAAUAUGUAAGUAGUACAAAACUGGCUUAACAUUAUCUUUGAUUUCUAAGGAGCAUUUUGUAUCAUCAAAUCAUUCCAAGAAUCUAUAAGGGGUAAAACACCAAUUCAAACAGUCAA